AGAGUUGAUCCUGGCUAGGAUGAACGCUGGCGGCGUGCCUAAUACAUGCAAGUCGAACGAAGCACCGUCGGUGCUUAGUGGCGAACGGGUGAGUAACACGUGGGUAACCUGCCCUCAAGACGAGGAUAACCGUUGGAAACGAUGGCUAAGACUGGAUAGGAAUACGGGAGGCAUCUUCUGUAUUUUAAAAGACCUGGCAACAGGUAUGCUUGAGGAGGGGCCUGCGGCGCAUUAGUUAGUUGGUGAGGUGAUGGCUCACCAAGACGAUGAUGCGUAGCCGGACUGAGAGGUUGAACGGCCACAUUGGAACUGAGAUACGGUCCAAACUCCUACGGGAGGCAGCAGUGGGGAAUAUUGGGCAAUGGAGGAAACUUACCUUACCCAGCAAUGCCGCGUGAGUGAAGAAGGUCUUCGGAUUGUAAAGCUCUUUGAUUGGGACGAAUAAAUGACGGUACCCAAGGAACAAGCCCCGGCUAACUAUGUGCCAGCCGCAGC
This 495-nucleotide ribosomal RNA is filed under the name uncultured bacterium. RNAcentral describes it as "bacterial SSU rRNA". It matches the Rfam family "Bacterial small subunit ribosomal RNA", at positions 9 to 518 of the family's 1533-position model. The record is from RNAcentral.